AGGGAAUCUUCCGCAAUGGACGAAAGUCUGACGGAGCGACGCCGCGUGAGUGAUGAAGGUUUUCGGAUCGUAAAGCUCUGUUGCCAGGGAAGAACGUCUUCUGGAGUAACUGCCAGGAGAGUGACGGUACCUGAGAAGAAAGCCCCGGCUAACUACGUGCCAGCAGCCGCGGUAAUACGUAGGGGGCAAGCGUUGUCCGGAAUUAUUGGGCGUAAAGCGCGCGCAGGCGGCUGUUGAGUCUGGUGUUUAAUCCUGGGGCUCAACCCCGGGUCGCACUGGAAACUGGACGGCUUGAGUGCAGAAGAGGAGAGUGGAAUUCCACGUGUAGCGGUGAAAUGCGUAGAGAUGUGGAGGAACACCAGUGGCGAAGGCGACUCUCUGGGCUGUAACUGACGCUGAGGCGCGAAAGCGUGGGGAGCAAAC
RNAcentral lists this ribosomal RNA (423 nucleotides) under uncultured bacterium. RNAcentral's name for it is "bacterial SSU rRNA". It matches the Rfam family "Bacterial small subunit ribosomal RNA", at positions 356 to 773 of the family's 1533-position model. The record is from RNAcentral.